This 253-nucleotide ribosomal RNA is filed under the name uncultured bacterium. RNAcentral's name for it is "partial 16S ribosomal RNA". It matches the Rfam family "Bacterial small subunit ribosomal RNA", at positions 524 to 776 of the family's 1533-position model. The record is from RNAcentral.
UACGGGGGGGGUAAGCGUUGUUCGGAAUUACUGGGCGUAAAGGGCUCGUAGGCGGCCAACUAAGUCGGACGUGAAAUCCCUCAGCUUAACUGGGGAACUGCGUCCGAUACUGGAUGGCUUGGAUUUGGGAGAGGGAUGCGGAAUUCCAGGUGUAGCGGUGAAAUGCGUAGAUAUCUGGAGGAACACCGGUGGCGAAGGCGGCAUCCUGGACCAAUAUUGACGCUGAGGUGCGAAAGCGUGGGGAGCAAACAGG